ACUCCUACGGGAGGCAGCAGUAAGGAAUCUUCCACAAUGGACGAAAGUCUGAUGGAGCAACGCCGCGUGAGUGAAGAAGGUUUUCGGAUCGUAAAACUCUGUUGUAAGGGAAGAACAAGUACAGUAGUAACUGGCUGUACCUUGACGGUACCUUAUUAGAAAGCCACGGCUAACUACGUGCCAGCAGCCGCGGUAAU
This 197-nucleotide ribosomal RNA is filed under the name uncultured soil bacterium. Its description in RNAcentral is "partial 16S rRNA". It matches the Rfam family "Bacterial small subunit ribosomal RNA", at positions 335 to 524 of the family's 1533-position model. The record is from RNAcentral.